Molecule: unclassified non-coding RNA, 519 nt
Filed under: Nodularia spumigena PCC 73104
Lineage: Bacteria; Bacillati; Cyanobacteriota; Cyanophyceae; Nostocales; Nodulariaceae
Description: partial contains 16S ribosomal RNA, 16S-23S ribosomal RNA intergenic spacer, and 23S ribosomal RNA
Rfam family: Bacterial small subunit ribosomal RNA (bases 1-122)
Source: RNAcentral
GUCACGCCCGAAGUCGUUACCCCAACUUUUCGGAGAGGGGGAUGCCGAAGGCAGGUCUGGUGACUGGGGUGAAGUCGUAACAAGGUAGCCGUACCGGAAGGUGUGGCUGGAUCACCUCCUUUUAGGGAGACCGAAUCCACUCAAACAUCGAAAACAAAUUGUGAUUAGAUACUGAGUUGGUCAUUCCUAGGUCGGUCGAGUAUUGGUGAAAGCUUUCAAAGUAUUUUUGGUUCAGUUCAUUCCUAAACACCAAAAUUUUCUGGAAUAUAAAUUCAGCAAUUGAUCGAUAGAACAAUCGAACUGCUGGGUGAUUAUCCAGCCAGAACCUUGAAAACUGCAUAGUAACGCGAAAAAAAGCAGGCAGACGAAUUGGAGUCCUGAGUGCUUCGAGACUGAGUGCUGAGUCAAAUCAGUGCCAAGAAAGAAGUAAACAGAACGAAGAAAAGUUUGCAGAAAAACACCAAUGUAAAUGUGGUCAAGCUAAUAAGGGCUUACGGUGGAUACCUAGGCACACAGAGG